This 465-nucleotide ribosomal RNA is filed under the name Vreelandella stevensii. Its description in RNAcentral is "partial 16S ribosomal RNA". It matches the Rfam family "Bacterial small subunit ribosomal RNA", at positions 338 to 795 of the family's 1533-position model. The record is from RNAcentral. Lineage: Bacteria; Pseudomonadati; Pseudomonadota; Gammaproteobacteria; Oceanospirillales; Halomonadaceae.
CCUACGGGUGGCAGCAGUGGGGAAUAUUGGACAAUGGGGGGAACCCUGAUCCAGCCAUGCCGCGUGUGUGAAGAAGGCCCUCGGGUUGUAAAGCACUUUCAGUGAGGAAGAACGCCUGGUGGUUAAUACCCAUCAGGAAAGACAUCACUCACAGAAGAAGCACCGGCUAACUCCGUGCCAGCAGCCGCGGUAAUACGGAGGGUGCGAGCGUUAAUCGGAAUUACUGGGCGUAAAGCGCGCGUAGGUGGCUUGAUAAGCCGGUUGUGAAAGCCCCGGGCUCAACCUGGGAACGGCAUCCGGAACUGUCAAGCUAGAGUGCAGGAGAGGAAGGUAGAAUUCCCGGUGUAGCGGUGAAAUGCGUAGAGAUCGGGAGGAAUACCAGUGGCGAAGGCGGCCUUCUGGACUGACACUGCCACUGAGGUGCGAAAGCGUGGGUAGCAAACAGGAUUAGAUACCCCGGUAGUC